GGUUGAUCCUGCCAGUAGUCAUAUGCUUGUCUCAAAGAUUAAGCCAUGCAUGUCUAAGUAUAAGCUUUUAUACAGUGAAACUGCGAAUGGCUCAGUAAAUCAGUUAUGAUCCACUUGACAAAUUUACUACUGGAUAUCCGUGGUAAUUCUAGAGCUAAUACAGUGCAUUCAAUCCCUGAUUAUGAUGGGAGCACUAGUUAGGUUCAUAAGCCAAAAUCGCCAGGGUAACCUGGUAUUGCUUAGUCAUAACUAUUAAGCUGAUCGACCGCAAGGUCGACGGUUCAAUCGAAUUU
Molecule: ribosomal RNA, 293 nt
Filed under: uncultured eukaryote
Lineage: Eukaryota
Description: partial 18S ribosomal RNA
Rfam family: Eukaryotic small subunit ribosomal RNA
Source: RNAcentral